This 431-nucleotide ribosomal RNA is filed under the name uncultured bacterium. Its description in RNAcentral is "bacterial SSU rRNA". It matches the Rfam family "Bacterial small subunit ribosomal RNA", at positions 62 to 507 of the family's 1533-position model. The record is from RNAcentral.
UCGAACGGGGUAAUCCUUCGGGGGUUACUUAGUGGCGGACGGGUGAGUAACGCGUGGGUAACCUGCCUCAUACAGGGGGGAUAACAGUUAGAAAUGACUGCUAAUACCGCAUUAAGCGCACAGCAUCGCAUGAUGCAGUGUGAAAAGCCGAGACGGUAUGAGAUGGACCCGCGUCUGAUUAGCUAGUUGGNGGGGUAACGGCCCCACCAAGGCGACGAUCAGUAGCCGACCUGAGAGGGUGACCGGCCACAUUGGGACUGAGACACGGCCCAAACUCCUACGGGAGGCAGCAGUGGGGAAUAUUGCGCAAUGGGGGGAACCCUGACGCAGCAACGCCGCGUGCAGGAAGAAGGUCUUCGGAUUGUAAACUGUUGUCGCAAGGGAAGAAGACAGUGACGGUACCUUGUGAGAAAGUCACGGCUAACUACGUG